Molecule: ribosomal RNA, 499 nt
Filed under: uncultured bacterium
Lineage: Bacteria
Description: partial 16S ribosomal RNA
Rfam family: Bacterial small subunit ribosomal RNA
Source: RNAcentral
GACGAACGCUGGCGGCGUGCUUAACACAUGCAAGUCGAACGGGCCCGCUCUCUUUUUUGGGGGGGGGUUGAGUGGCGAACGGGUGAGUAUCACGUGAGUAACCUGCCCCCUGCUCCUGGAUAACUGCUUGAAAGGGCGGCUAAUACGGGGUGUGCCGGCUGGUCCGCAUGGGCCUGGUCGGGAUAGUUUCAUCUUCGGGUGUUUCGGUGGGGGAUGGGCUCGCGGCCUAUCAGCUUGUUGGUGGGGUGGUGGCCCACCAAGGCGUGGACGGGGCGCCGGCCUGAGAGGGUGGGCGGCCACACGGGGACUGAGACACGGCCGAGACUCCUGCGGGAGGCAGCAGUGGGGGGUAGUGCACAAUGGGCGGAAGCCUGAUGCAGCGACGUCGCGUGAGGGAUGGAGGCCUUCGGGUUGUGAACCUCUUUCUCCGGUGGUGAAGGCCCUGUCCGUUGCGGCGGGGUUGACGGUAGCCGGGUAUGAAGCGCCGGCUAACUACGUG